CUCCGCCCCCUUCCCGGAAAAUGAAAACUUUCCACCUAUGAGACACAGUGCAACGUGUGUGCCAUAAAUAAUCACCUCUCAAAGUAUGCUAAACACAUUUUUAGAUAGCAACCGGGGUUAGGUUCUUCAUAAGUUUUCUUUGGCUGAAAUAACAACGCAAAUGAGCUUACACAUAAGUGCAGAUACGCAUACCUACAAGCCAAAACAUGUCACUUCAGUCUGGAGGAGCGAUAUAUUCGCUUAAGAGCCGCGCCUAUACCGUCAGAUGCAAUUCUAUGUAGCGCUUUCGCGGUGCGCGGAGACGCCGAUAGUGGCGCCACGACCUGGGGCUUCAGAGAAGGUGGCGACCGCGUGAUCAGGUUGCGGCCCUUCACGUCUUCCGGGCUGCACUCACGUCUGUCAACUUGUAAAGAGAGCCGAAGAGCAGUUCUCGUUUGACCACCACAAAAACGAAAGGAGACAUACAUGGCCGGAAAAGGAAGAAGAAAGCGACCGGCGUCAGGGACCGAACAAAUCCAGCCCUUGGAAAUGCUCGACUUGGAGUUGCUGCGGCUGCUGCGGCUCCUCAUCAUCGUACAGAUUUGGUGUAUGGAACAAAGGAGGCGUCUGCUGGAGGAGCUUAUGGAAUCGAUGGAUAAUAUUCAAGAAUAGCAUAUGCUGCGGCUUCUCUCUUUUUUAAAGUACUUUAUUGAAACGUAAUAAACCUUCUUCUCCUGAAA
Molecule: long non-coding RNA, 719 nt
Organism: Dermacentor andersoni
Lineage: Eukaryota; Metazoa; Arthropoda; Arachnida; Ixodida; Ixodidae
Source: RefSeq, a predicted model, not a curated record